CUACGGUCCAAGGUGACCUCCACGGUCUGCGCCGCCACCAUUCGCUCUGCCUCCAUGGUCUCCACGGUCUGAGCCGCCAGCAUCGAGGGGGAGGGUCGGAGGGACACGAGCGGAUCCGAGGCGGCCUCCAUGGUCUGCGCCGCCACCAUCCGCUCUGCCGCCCUUCGCUCCACUUCGAAGGUAAGGAAACACCAGUCGUCCUCUACUCCGAAUCUGAAACAGUGGACGACUUCACCUUCGUCGACGCCCAGCAGCCUCCUAGUCUAGUAUCUGCAGGAGGCGGCGGUUUCAUAGGCCUGCCGCUGCUAUACCCAGUCUUGGCCGGCCGAGAUCCCCUCCGCGGGCUGCUCCGGAGACGGCCACCACGCGGUAUGAGCAUGAUCCACUUGACCAGCUGCUGGUACUCCAGCGCGUGUACUGCUUGCCAUUGCCUGGCACAUAGUGCCAGCACGCGUGUGCUGUCGGCCAAGGCAACUGCCAGGCACAUACUGCCAGCACAUGCUUGCCAUUACUUACUCCAAGAUUUAUAUUUUGUUGAAGAUAGAUUCUGG
This 551-nucleotide long non-coding RNA is filed under the name Zea mays. RNAcentral describes it as "drought responsive lncRNA". Lineage: Eukaryota; Viridiplantae; Streptophyta; Magnoliopsida; Poales; Poaceae. The record is from RNAcentral.